This 497-nucleotide ribosomal RNA is filed under the name uncultured bacterium. RNAcentral's name for it is "partial 16S ribosomal RNA". It matches the Rfam family "Bacterial small subunit ribosomal RNA", at positions 28 to 507 of the family's 1533-position model. The record is from RNAcentral.
GAUGAACGCUGGCGGCGUGCCUAAUACAUGCAAGUCGAGCGAACAGACGAGGAGCUUGCUCCUCUGACGUUAGCGGCGGACGGGUGAGUAACACGUGGAUAACCUACCUAUAAGACUGGGAUAACUUCGGGAAACCGGAGCUAUUACCGGAUAAUAUAUUGAACCGCAUGGUUCAAUAGUGAAAGACGGUUUUGCUGUCACUUAUAGAUGGAUCCGCGCCGCAUUAGCUAGUUGGUAAGGUAACGGCUUACCAAGGCAACGAUGCGUAGCCGACCUGAGAGGGUGAUCGGCCACACUGGAACUGAGACACGGUCCAGACUCCUACGGGAGGCAGCAGUAGGGAAUCUUCCGCAAUGGGCGAAAGCCUGACGGAGCAACGCCGCGUGAGUGAUGAAGGUCUUCGGAUCGUAAAACUCUGUUAUUAGGGAAGAACAAAUGUGUAAGUAACUAUGCACGUCUUGACGGUACCUAAUCAGAAAGCCACGGCUAACUACGUG